CCUACGGGAGGCAGCAGUGGGGAAUAUUGGGCAAUGGAGGCAACGCUGACCCAGCAACGCCGCGUGAAUGAAGAAGGUCUUAGGAGUGUAAAGAUUCUUAAUCCGGGACGAAAAAGAUGACGGUACCUGAGGAAUAAGCCACGGCAAACUAAGGGCAAGCAGCCGCGGUAAGACAGAGGGCGCAAGCGGUAGCCGGAAUGACUGGGGUUAAAGGGAGCGUAGGCGGUCUGGUAAGUGAGGGGGGAAAUCCCGGGGCUCAACCCCGUAACUGCUUUAAAGACUGACGGCUUUUGGGGUCUGGGGGGUAGCGGAAUGCCUAGUGUAGCGGUGGAAUGCGUAGAUAUUACGAGGAACACCGGUGGCGAAGGCGGCUUACCGGCUUCUAACUGACGCUGAGGCACGAAAGCGUGGGUAGCGAACAGGAUUAGAUACCCCAGUAGUC
Molecule: ribosomal RNA, 442 nt
Filed under: uncultured bacterium
Lineage: Bacteria
Description: partial 16S ribosomal RNA
Rfam family: Bacterial small subunit ribosomal RNA
Source: RNAcentral